AGUCGUACGCUUCUUUUUCCACCGGAGCUUGCUCCACCGGAAAAAGAAGAGUGGCGAACGGGUGAGUAACACGUGGGUAACCUGCCCAUCAGAAGGGGAUAACACUUGGAAACAGGUGCUAAUACCGUAUAACAAUCGAAACCGCAUGGUUUUGAUUUGAAAGGCGCUUUCGGGUGUCGCUGAUGGAUGGACCCGCGGUGCAUUAGCUAGUUGGUGAGGUAACGGCUCACCAAGGCCACGAUGCAUAGCCGACCUGAGAGGGUGAUCGGCCACAUUGGGACUGAGACACGGCCCAAACUCCUACGGGAGGCAGCAGUAGGGAAUCUUCGGCAAUGGACGAAAGUCUGACCGAGCAACGCCGCGUGAGUGAAGAAGGUUUUCGGAUCGUAAAACUCUGUUGUUAGAGAAGAACAAGGAUGAGAGUAACUGUUCAUCCCUUGACGGUAUCUAACCAGAAAGCCACGGCUAACUACGUGCCAGCAGCCGCGGUAAUACGUAGGUGGCAAGCGUUGUCCGGAUUUAUUGGGCGUAAAGCGAGCGCAGGCGGUUUCUUAAGUCUGAUGUGAAAGCCCCCGGCUCAACCGGGGAGGGUCAUUGGAAACUGGGAGACUUGAGUGCAGAAGAGGAGAGUGGAAUUCCAUGUGUAGCGGUGAAAUGCGUAGAUAUAUGGAGGAACACCAGUGGCGAAGGCGGCUCUCUGGUCUGUAACUGACGCUGAGGCUCGAAAGCGUGGGGAGCAAACAGGAUUAGAUACCCUGGUAGUCCACGCCGUAAACGAUGAGUGCUAAGUGUUGGAGGGUUUCCGCCCUUCAGUGCUGCAGCUAACGCAUUAAGCACUCCGCCUGGGGAGUACGACCGCAAGGUUGAAACUCAAAGGAAUUGACGGGGGCCCGCACAAGCGGUGGAGCAUGUGGUUUAAUUCGAAGCAACGCGAAGAACCUUACCAGGUCUUGACAUCCUUUGACCACUCUAGAGAUAGAGCUUCCCCUUCGGGGGCAAAGUGACAGGUGGUGCAUGGUUGUCGUCAGCUCGUGUCGUGAGAUGUUGGGUUAAGUCCCGCAACGAGCGCAACCCUUAUUGUUAGUUGCCAUCAUUCAGUUGGGCACUCUAGCAAGACUGCCGGUGACAAACCGGAGGAAGGUGGGGAUGACGUCAAAUCAUCAUGCCCCUUAUGACCUGGGCUACACACGUGCUACAAUGGGAAGUACAACGAGUCGCGAAGUCGCGAGGCUAAGCUAAUCUCUUAAAGCUUCUCUCAGUUCGGAUUGUAGGCUGCAACUCGCCUACAUGAAGCCGGAAUCGCUAGUAAUCGCGGAUCAGCACGCCGCGGUGAAUACGUUCCCGGGCCUUGUACACACCGCCCGUCACACCACGAGAGUUUGUAACACCCGAAGUCGGUGAGGUAACCUUUGGAG
RNAcentral lists this ribosomal RNA (1415 nucleotides) under Enterococcus durans. Its description in RNAcentral is "bacterial SSU rRNA". It matches the Rfam family "Bacterial small subunit ribosomal RNA". Lineage: Bacteria; Bacillati; Bacillota; Bacilli; Lactobacillales; Enterococcaceae. The record is from RNAcentral.